AAAGAUUUAGUUUAACGAAAACAUAAAUUUGUCAAUUUUAAAUUACUUAAUAGUAGUCUUUU
Molecule: transfer RNA, 62 nt
Filed under: Cassianeura bimaculata
Lineage: Eukaryota; Metazoa; Arthropoda; Insecta; Hemiptera; Cicadellidae
Description: tRNA-Asp
Source: RNAcentral